Manis pentadactyla (Chinese pangolin) is the source of this 959-nucleotide long non-coding RNA. RefSeq lists it as uncharacterized. The transcript has 4 exons. The record is from RefSeq and is a predicted model, not a curated record. NCBI's taxonomy places the organism in Eukaryota, Metazoa, Chordata, Mammalia, Pholidota, Manidae.
UCCCUGAGAAGCAUCUUACCAAAGACUGAAGUAAAGAAAGGCAGGAUGUUACCUGACUGAAGAUGCUGUCACUAGAAAACCACUGAUACCAAGGGAUCUGGCCGCUCGUGGACUGACAGGAGUCUUUCUUUUCAGAUAUCCUGCUACCAUUCAACAUGAGACCGCGUGUGAGGGAGGGAAAACGACAGUGGUCAUGCCCAAUUGCGGUGAAAAUAUCUUAGACACACAAGGAACCUUGAAAGCGAGAUGCUCACCUCUUCUGGGCUUUGGAAAGUGGCCCAGCCAAGCUGCCUCUCAAAUAAAACCUUUACCUCAUGCUAAGCAUUCCAAGCUGGAAGAAGGCAUCUGUUCUUGCCUACGGAGAGCCUGCCUGGGAGGUGGCUGGCUUGUCACGGAAAAAAAAAAGGGAGAACUCCUGGGAGAUUGAUUUGGACACUUGAUCAAAAUGAACAUUAUAAUAAAAAAAAAAAAACUCAUAUUGAAUAGGUCAUCUGAACGUGUUUUCUCUUAGAGGUAGGUUUAAGCAAGAACAGAGUGUGGUUUCUGUGACGUCACUACGUGAUGCCGCUUUGUCUGAAGGCCAGACGCUAAAUGAGGUGUGCGCGCACGGACACACGGAGACCAUCUGCGCUCAGUGAUGAGCACGUGAGGGGAUCCCGCGCGCCCUCCCUGGUCGUGCAGCUCCAAACACAGACAAGGCAAGCCCGGAGCUGCACGGCUUGGCCUGGAAUAGAAAUUCUCCUGCAGACUCCUGCAACUUCUCUUCUGGUAAUGGCUUAAGACUUAGGGUGAAGACAGGAAGGAAGGCUCUUCAGAAAUGAAAGGACUACGUCGAUCUUCUAAUUUGGGAUAACUUUGCAAACUAGGUCACUUACUUCAAUUCAACAGUUCAAGCCUCAGAGAGUUUUGCUUAACUGUGUGCUAUAUUCUUAAGAGACAUGAAUGCAAUAAAGAUUAGU